Long non-coding RNA from Carassius gibelio (silver crucian carp), 583 nucleotides. RefSeq lists it as uncharacterized. The record is from RefSeq and is a predicted model, not a curated record. The transcript is spliced from 3 exons. Lineage: Eukaryota; Metazoa; Chordata; Actinopteri; Cypriniformes; Cyprinidae.
UCUCACACACAUACACACACAAACCUAUUUCUUCCAUUCUCUUUCUUUCUUUCCGUCUCUCUGCCCUCCCUUCCUCACACUCCCCCAUCUCUUUCUCCUUUCUUUCUUUCUCUUUCGCUCUCUCUCUCUCGCGCGCACAUUCACUAUUCCUCUUUCUCACGCACACACGGCGUGACCCUUCAACAAACAUAUUUCAGAUAACAAAAGCGCACUUCUCAACACAUCUUCGCUUUGGAGAUGAUCUCAAACAUGUUUCAAGACGGCACAAACACACAAGAGUGAUCCCUAAUCACCGGCGCACUGGAGGCGUGUCUGUCGGUGUCAGACAGCCACUGAGUGAGACAUGCUGAAAUGUUUCCCUGGAGGAGUUCUACAGGAGCAUGCGAUAGGCUACCUGUCCGCUCCGUUGCCGGGUGUGUGCUGAGGUGUUCCCGCUCAUCCUCAUUACGGAAAAGGUUACAGCUUAUAGGUGCAUUAACGCCACGGACUGGACAGGAGUGUGGAUCAGGAUAUAUGCAGAUACAAAAGGAUGAGGGGAAGAAGGGAAAAUGCUCCAAAAGGAAGAUGGAAUAAAACACACACA